Acanthosepion pharaonis is the source of this 96-nucleotide non-coding RNA. The record is from the annotation of a GenBank genome assembly. Lineage: Eukaryota; Metazoa; Mollusca; Cephalopoda; Sepiida; Sepiidae.
UCAAACACUGGUUCUCGUUUGAUCACCAAUGUUAAGCAGUGUCUAGCUCGGUCAGUACUUAGAUGAGGGACCGCUUGGGAACACCGGUUACUGUAA